This 402-nucleotide transfer-messenger RNA is filed under the name bovine gut metagenome. It matches the Rfam family "transfer-messenger RNA". Rfam says of the family: Bacterial tmRNA, also known as 10Sa RNA or SsrA, is named for its dual tRNA and mRNA-like properties. Its role is to liberate the mRNA from a stalled ribosome. The record is from RNAcentral.
GGGGCUGAAUGGAUUUGACAGCGACUGAAGGGGUUUGUAAGCACGCAGUGCGCCUGGGAGUGGGCACUUUAAUAUCGGCUUCCGAAAAUUUAAUUGGCGAAAAUAAAUACGCUCUCGCUGCCUAAUCUGAAGUACAGUAGGAUUGCUUAAUUCCGUCUCCAGGAGGCGGAACGGGACAUCGCCCGAAACAGCCGUUUUUUCCGAGGCGGUUUCAUAGUGGCGGUGCUAAGAAUAUCGGGAAUAGUCAGGGUGUGCCUCGGCAUUUUGGCGAAAUUUAAGAGGAUAAGGCGUUGGUUGGUGGCUUCGGUCUUGCCAACGCACGAAAAACGAAGCGGAGAUAAGCGUGUAGAAAGCAGAUUCACUCUUCGUUUGGACGAGGGUUCAAUCCCCUCCAGCUCCACU